GACAGAGGGGGCAAGCGUUGCUCGGAAGCACUGGGCGUAAAGGGCGCGUAGGCGGGAUGGCAAGUCGGUCGUGAAAUCCUUCGGCUCAACCGAAGAACGUCGGCCGAUACUGCCGUUCUUGAGGGAUGCAGAGGAGAUUGGAAUUCCCGGUGUAGCGGUGAAAUGUGUAGAGAUCGGGAGGAACACCGGUGGCGAAGGCGGGUCUCUGGGCAUCUCCUGACGCUGAGGCGCGAAAGCGUGGGGAGCAAACGGG
This 253-nucleotide ribosomal RNA is filed under the name uncultured bacterium. RNAcentral's name for it is "partial 16S ribosomal RNA". It matches the Rfam family "Bacterial small subunit ribosomal RNA", at positions 524 to 776 of the family's 1533-position model. The record is from RNAcentral.